GGACCUUCCUGGUUCACCUGUGUUUGAGAUGGACUAGGUUCUGCACUUGUGUAUAUGUUCCAGGACCUUGGCCUUUCAGAACUGAACUCAUUCAUAUCUACUUUUCACAAUACAGAGAACCAAUAUGAUUGCAGAAAGCGAUGCAUAGGAGGAGGAUGAUAUCAGAUAUCGCAAUGUGAACAAACACAGAUUGAUGAACAGAAAAACGAUGAUAUCAGAUAUCGCAAUGUGAACAAACACAGAUUGAUGAACAGAAAAACCCACAAUAUGAAACGAGAAAAUCAUAUGGUUUUAAGGUGUUACCUGCGAAGAGUGAUCACAACAGCAAAGCAGCAACGCUGUCAAUCACGGUCAUAUCUUCCCGUUUUCUAUGGUGGGAGUUCAAACAAGAACAACACAGAAUGGUUCUUUCUUUCUUAAUCCCAGAUUUCUUAUUCCAAAGGGUUUCCUGUCAAGGAAGAAACAGACAGACACAUUGGCACCAAAUGUAGUAUUAUUGAAGGUUGCAGCUCAGCUCAGCCUAGACACCUUUAUUAUACCUAGCACAAAUGUAAAGACAAAGUUAAAUUAUGUAAUCUCAGUAGUAUAUACUUUUUGUUU
Molecule: long non-coding RNA, 600 nt
Organism: Ipomoea triloba (trilobed morning glory)
Lineage: Eukaryota; Viridiplantae; Streptophyta; Magnoliopsida; Solanales; Convolvulaceae
Exons: 2
Source: RefSeq, a predicted model, not a curated record